CAUGCAAGUCGAGCGAACGGAUAAGGAGCUUGCUCCUUUGAAGUUAGCGGCGGACGGGUGAGUAACACGUGGGUAACCUACCUAUAAGACUGGAAUAACUUCGGGAAACCGGAGCUAAUGCCGGAUAACAUUUGGAACCGCAUGGUUCUAAAGUAAAAGAUGGUUUUGCUAUCACUUAUAGAUGGACCCGCGCCGUAUUAGCUAGUUGGUAAGGUAACGGCUUACCAAGGCAACGAUACGUAGCCGACCUGAGAGGGUGAUCGGCCACACUGGAACUGAGACACGGUCCAGACUCCUACGGGAGGCAGCAGUAGGGAAUCUUCCGCAAUGGACGAAAGUCUGACGGAGCAACGCCGCGUGAGUGAUGAAGGUUUUCGGAUCGUAAAACUCUGUUAUUAGGGAAGAACAAAUGUGUAAGUAACUGUGCACAUCUUGACGGUACCUAAUCAGAAAGCCACGGCUAA
Molecule: ribosomal RNA, 464 nt
Filed under: Staphylococcus equorum subsp. equorum
Lineage: Bacteria; Bacillati; Bacillota; Bacilli; Caryophanales; Staphylococcaceae
Also listed under: 1 other name
Description: bacterial SSU rRNA
Rfam family: Bacterial small subunit ribosomal RNA
Source: RNAcentral